This 5937-nucleotide long non-coding RNA is filed under the name Musa acuminata (dwarf banana). RNAcentral describes it as "long non-coding RNA (MACU_LNC010448)". Lineage: Eukaryota; Viridiplantae; Streptophyta; Magnoliopsida; Zingiberales; Musaceae. The record is from RNAcentral.
AUGCCUAGAAAAUACAAUAUUUUUAUAAAAAUAAUUCAAUAAAAAUACCAGUAAAAUUGCCACAAGUAUUAAACUACUUUUUCUAUACUUCCUCAGAGUCCAACAAUGUCUGCGUAUAUAGGUCUUCAUGGAUAGUAGAACGCAUGUCUAGGAAGGCAGUGACAUGCAAUAAGCAACAGCAGCAACAACGUCAACAACAACAACAACUAUUACUAGAGGCUUGUUUCCAACAAAUGCGAGAAAAAAGAGAACAAUUCAGUUCAAGAAUUUGAAGUGAAAAAGGCACCAUAAAAGGCAAUUAACACCUUGUACACUAUAAUUAUUGACAACAGAUGCAAGAAAAAAGAGAACAUAUAAGUUCAAGAAUUGAUGUGAUAGAGGCACCCUUAAGAGCAAUUGCGUUUAUACAUGAAAUGCCAACAAACCAUACUCUAUGAUAUUUGAAAAAGAAAUCAAAUGUUAAUUAUAUGCAAUCACAGUCAACCAACAUGCCCUUAUGAGUCCUCCUAGUUGACAACAAACCUAUGAAUCUAACUCUCCGAAAACACAUGGAGAUAAUAUGGAUCAGAACCAAAUAUUCACUAUGAAUUGAUAUAAGGAGCUGAAGGCAAAGAAACAGAGGUACGGUGUAAAGAGAUCACAUCUAGGGUGGUCCAAUGCAUGAUGCUACUACCAAUGUGAUGUUCAAAGGGGUCAAUUUAUACAGCAAUACUGUUGCAAGCAAAGAGGCAGGAGAAAUCACAUGGUUGAUGGUAAAUAAUCAUGAGAAAUUGAACUGUAAGGGGGAUCUUGUUUAAAGAUGAAAAAUAGAGUGCUUUACCUUAUGAUGAAAUAAAUAAUCAAAAACUUAUAGUGGAACAGUCUAAUCAUCAUGAAAAAGACAGCUGAAACUUUCCAUUCAUGUACACGUCUCGAUAUUCAAUGCUUUUUCUUCGAGAUAACAUAUCUGUUCCCCACAAUUCCAUUUUCAUUUUGCAUCUUUAAUUUUCAAUUCACUUGUCCAGGAAAAGAUGGAAAUGGAUUUACUCACUAAAACUGGCAAACAAUAUCCACUGAUGUCUCUUCAUCCUCCCCAUGUAAUGAGCUCAUAGCAGCUGCUACCAUCAUCUUGCCAUUAGGAAAGUUGGGUAUCUCAGCACAGCGAGGUAGAGGAGACAAUCUAAAUCCGCUAGCCAAUUAGUUGCAGAAGCACCAGGAGGUGGUGGAAAGAUGUCCUCAAAGGCCAUGAACCUGAACUCAUCGUGUGAUGGCAAGGACAACAAUGGCACACCCAAGGAUGGUAAUGAAUGUAGGAAUGGGACCGAAAUCAGUGGCAAUGAGGUCAAGGUAAGUUAAGGGUUCAGCUGAAGAAAAAGUACUGGAAUUUCUCAGGCAGGCAUAGGGAAGUAAGAGGUAGAGGCAUGAAGUAGCAGAUGAGAACAUUAGAAAGAAGGUAGAAGAGUAACAGAAGAGAAGAAAGGGUGGCAGAAGUUACAGAAAUAUACACUACAAAGGUCAGGAAUUGAGAGAGUUUCAUCAAAGAAGCAGUUUUUAAUGUCUAUUUCAAAUCAACAAAGCAAAAAAUCAAUCUUCCUGGUUUUAUCUUAUCUAUGGUCAGAAGGAACUCUACAAUAUUUAUAUUUCUUAAAAGAAUAUAUCGAAAUGCAAAAUAUUAAUCAGUUAUCUCUUUGGUUUGUCAAAGAACUACAGCAUAUUGUUAUGCAAUCAAACACAUGUUUCUAAUGAACACAACUCUGGAAUUUCAUUAGAAAAAUAAUAAACAAUAUAACUUCAACAACAACCACCCGUGGCCCGUUGUCGUUUGUCAUCAUUAAUCAUUAAUGUCAUUUGUCAUUACCAAUUGAAACAUUAAAUACCUUUUUAUCCUAUAUUUUCGUGCUUUAGUCAGUAAAAUUAAUGAUGUUAAAGGUAAAUGAACCUAAAUAUUUUAUUUUCAUAAUUAUAGAUAUGUUAAUAUAAUUUUUUAAAAUAUAAAGAUUAAAACGUUAAAGAUAACUAACUAACUAGCAAUAUUAAUAUUAAUAUGUAAUUAACCCUAAAACACUAAUGUAGCAGACUUCCAAGUCCUUUGGUUCAAUGUAAUCAACCAUAACAUUCUACGAGGAAGAUUGGUCUGCGACGACCAUGGAUGAGGUUGGUUUGUCCAAGUUCCUCUUGGAAACCAAUGAUGUGCCUGCAAUCGAAUGCGAUGAGCCCAUCGAAGGUUGAGCCGGAGAUGACGUAGCGAAGAUAGUGAUGCUGGUGACAACCGCCAAGCCACCAUCUGCGGCCUUCGGAGCCGGAGGCCUGUCUAUGGCCGAAACCCCUUCCAGCAUCUGCACAACCUUCCCCAUCGACGGUCUCUGCGAGGGCUGCUCCUGGAUGCACCAUAAGCUCACCAGUAGCGCCCUCUCCAGCUGCUCCAUGUCCACGUCGUGCUCGGCGAGCCUCUUGUCCAUGGCGCUCUUGAUGUUUCUUCCCUUCUCCAGCUCUUCGUACGCCCACACCGAGAACUUCUUCCGGCCAGUGUCAUCCGAAACAUCGAAGUUAUUAUUCUCUCAUGUAAAAUGUUUUCUCAAAAAAAAAAAAAACAUAAAAUUCCACUCUGAUAUCAGAGCCAGGUUUCGAUCCUGGGACCUGUGGGUUAUGGGCCCACCACGCUUCCGCUGCGCCACUCUGAUUGUUAAUUUUAUCUGUCAUAUACUUUAUUUAGAGAAUUCUGGUAGAUAAGUCUAAAUAAUAGAUGCAAUGUCCGGAAACGCACAAAUCAUUGAGCCUAUGAACAAACUGGUUAGGAGGGCUGUGUAUGUGCGUGUGUGAAUAUAACAUCUGAAUAGGAGACCCAAAAAAAAAAGGAAAACUGUCAAUAUAACAAGACAUAAAACAUAUAAUGACUUUUAUAUAAGUUAGACAUGGAGAGAAGUAUACAUUUCAAAUUGCUAAGGCUAUAAAAAGAAAGAGCAACGAUUAGGUAAUAUUAGAUACAUAACAAAAUUAAGGAAAGAUGGAUAAAUUAAUUUUCCAAAAUAUAUAGUGAAAAUUUGACAAAUAACUAAGACCUAAAAAUUGAUAAUAGUGGUAGGUUUGGUAAUCAUCGAUUGGUUCCUGAAAGAUUUUAAAAAAUCAAGGAAUAAUUUGAUUGAUUAGUUUCUUUUUAAAAAAAUAAUAUUUAGAAAAUUACCUAAUAAAUAUUGGAAGAACUUUCAAUUGAUAAAAAAUAAGGAAAUUUGAUGUUAGUUCGAGCCCAAACUAAACCCAAUCAAAGAUGUUCGAGUACAAUUCCGACGAAAUAUACAUAUUUUAGGGAAAUUUAACCCACGAUAAUUCAUAAACGAAUGUUAAAGAUCAGAACAAAUUGAGGUUAUGUUAAAAAAAAUUAUUAGGGAGAAAAGGCCUCAAAAUCAGGAAUCCCACAAAUCAAUAAUUACAUAACAUAAUUACACGUCAAUAUAAAAUAAUGUGGUUUUAUCUUUUAUUUUUUUAAUCUAUGAAAAAUUAAAUUAUUUAAUAUUAUAAUAAAUUUUGAUUAUCCGACGGGCUAAAGAGCCAAUGGAGAUGUACUUUCAAAUAUGUCUUAAGUUGAGGUAUUGAUAGGGCACAAUUUAACCGUAUAUCAUAGCCACAAUAGUACUGAUGUGGAACUUAUAAGCCGAUGUGGUAGACCAUGUCGAUAGCUCAGACAAUGUGAUCGUCCCUCAACCCCCCCCCCCCCCCACCCAGCCUUUGCAGGACCGUAUAAGUGACACUGUCAGGUAUGAAGCUACCCCGGAAGGUCCGGAAUGAUGCCAUCGAGUAUAGAGCCACCCUGGAAUGAUCGAGACGGCGUUGCUCGGGGACGAUCUGCACAUAUUGACUGGAGUGACGCCAUCAAGUACAAAGCCACCCUGGAAUGAUCAGGACGGCACUGCUCAAGGACAAUCCGGACACGUCGACCGGAACGGCACCAUCGAGCACAAAGGCAUGGGCCGACUGCUUAAGGAGUCAGUGAUCAUUAACGUAUGGGGUACGAUCAUUCCCCGUAUACAAGUAUAAAAGCUCGUCACUUGGUCAAGGCCAAGGGAUUAGAGGGACUUUGAACACUUAACUCUCUCUCAUUCUGUCAAAAGCUAACUUAAGCUUUGGAGGGAUCGAGUCACGAAAUCCCCCUCCCAACCUCAAACUACGUGUAGGAGUCCAACGACGAAGAAGCAGGCUACUCACUAAGAGAGAAGACCAUGCUCGGGGGAGGACGCUCCCCCUCACCCCCCAAGUAUCCAUGUGGGUGACCUUGUACAUCCGGGGCUGGACUGAGCUGUGUUGACACCUCGACUACGACGUAAAGGUUCACCAAUAUUUUGGCAUUAGAAGGAGGGCCCGAUGUCGCAAGAAUGCCCACAGCCGAACAACCCGGAGGAGUGUCCCGGAGAGGAGCCACACCUGACCUCCGGCUUCGGAGGACAACCCCCAUUCCCUCCAAACCUAGGAGGAAACACCCCAAGCCACUAUUGGUGACUAUUCAACGAUCGUAGGCUAUCACCUCCCGGGACCAGCAUGGGUCAGCAUGCAGUCUCAACUGAGGCGUUCCUUAGCCUCACUCAUUAGGUACAAGCUUUGGUAGGGAUGAUGUAGACCAUUAUCCCUUUAGUCCCUCAGCUCGCCCAAUAAUCGGCAUUGCCUCAACCAUUGCAACUGACAACUCUUGGCCCCCCAUCACCGACGGCUCCUCAACAGCCCACUAUGGCGAACGUUACCCCAUCAUCUGAGGAGCUAUCGGAGAAUCCGAGGUUGAUACACAAGCAUAAUGCUCCCGACCUUGACACGUUAUCAUCUAACUCGAUAGACUCUCUUCGGGCUCAGCAACGAUCGAUUAAUCGGCGUCUUAAGGAAAUCCGAAGAGAGUUCCACAAAUCCAAGGAGGAGCUUGGUGAGGUUCCCCCGGGAGGGUCACCCUAUGUACAGGAGAUCUAGGACAAGCCUAUCCCGCAAAGCUUUCAUCUUCCUGCGCUCGAAGCUUAUGAUGACAACUCUAACCCAACGGAACAUGUUGCAGCAUUUCGAGCCCAGAUGGCCUUGUAUAGCACUUUGGAUGCCUUAAUGUGCCAAGCCUUCCCUACAACUCUCUAAGGCCCAGCGUGGAUAUGGUAUAGCCGGCUUAGGUCGGCCUCAGUUGCAUCCUUCAACCAGUUGGAAAAAAACUUUGAGCUUAAUUUCCUUGCCGGUGCACGACCACGGCCAUUCGUGGUCAUGCUCCUCGGCCUCAACCAAAAAGAUGAAGAGCCGCUCUCCCAGUUUGUCACUCGUUUCGCUACUAUGACUAGAGGAAUCCCUGACGGUCACCCUUCUCUGCUUAUGCAGGCAUUUCUGAUGGGUCUGUGACCAUCCAGAUUCUUCUGGUCACUAGUCGAAUGACCGACGAUGACUGUCCCCGAGAUGCUUCAAUGCGUGAACCAAUUCAUAGCUACUGAGACACUAAUGGCAAGAAUACAUGAAGAGCAUAAGAGACCCCGUGCAAAAGUCAUCACGAGGGCAAGCUUCGGGCCCACUAAGAAGAAGGCUCGACUAACCCGACCUACCGCUCCCGAAGGCCACUCUCACACUAUUGAAUUCAUCCAGAAUAGAAAUAUUUCUUCAAAUCAAAGAGAGAGGACUUUUGAGAGCACCUAAUCCAAUGAAGACCCCCGAGAACUUAGAAAUUGUUCAAAAUAUUAUCAGUUUUAUCGCGACUAUGGUUCAGCUGAAGAAAAAGUAAUGGAAUUUCUCAGGCAUAGGGAGGUAAGAGGUAGAGGCAUGAAGUAGAAGAUGAGAACAUUAGAUAGAAGGUAGAAGAGUAACAGAGGAGAAUAAAGGGUAGCAGCAGUUACAGAAAUAUACACUACAAAGGUCAGGAAUUGAGAGAGUUUCAUCAAAGAAGCAGUUUUUAAUGUCUAUUUCAAAUCAACAAAGCAAAAAAUCAAUCUUCCUGGUUUUAUCUUAUCUAUG